GGGGGUGCCAGGUUUCGACGGGGGUAUUCCGAGGCGAUAGAUGCAUACCGCGGCCCACGCUCCGCGAUAUCAAGCUUGGGAAACACAAUCGCGAAUAGCGAACUUGCACUGGCUGCUUAAUGCGGCCACGCUUCCUCCGGCAUCGCCUGUGUGCAGGAUGUGAAGCGUCACUUUAGCAGGCUGCCCCUCCCGGCCCGUGCUCAGGGACCAGGAGGGUAAGACCAAUCUGGGCUAGCCUGUCGCGAUGCUUCGUUGCUUCCACGGUCACGGCGGGCGAAACUUUAGGAAGCAACUAAGUAUGUAGAGGCUAUCGCUCAGGGCUUCCGGACGAGAGUUCGAUUCUCUCCACCUCCAUAG
Molecule: transfer-messenger RNA, 357 nt
Filed under: Blastocatellia bacterium
Lineage: Bacteria; Pseudomonadati; Acidobacteriota; Blastocatellia
Rfam family: transfer-messenger RNA
About the family: Bacterial tmRNA, also known as 10Sa RNA or SsrA, is named for its dual tRNA and mRNA-like properties. Its role is to liberate the mRNA from a stalled ribosome.
Source: RNAcentral